GGAGCUUGCUCCCGGAUGUUAGCGGCGGACGGGUGAGUAACACGUGGGUAACCUGCCUGUAAGACUGGGAUAACUCCGGGAAACCGGAGCUAAUACCGGAUAGUUCCUUGAACCGCAUGGUUCAAGGAUGAAAGACGGUUUCGGCUGUCACUUACAGAUGGACCCGCGGCGCAUUAGCUAGUUGGUGGGGUAAUGGCUCACCAAGGCGACGAUGCGUAGCCGACCUGAGAGGGUGAUCGGCCACACUGGGACUGAAACACGGCCCAGACUCCUACGGGAGGCAGCAGUAGGGAAUCUUCCGCAAUGGACGAAAGUCUGACGGAGCAACGCCGCGUGAGUGAUGAAGGUUUUCGGAUCGUAAAGCUCUGUUGUUAGGGAAGAACAAGUGCGAGAGUAACUGCUCGCACCUUGACGGUACCUAACCAGAAAGCCACGGCUAACUACGUGCCAGCAGCCGCGGUAAUACGUAGGUGGCAAGCGUUGUCCGGAAUUAUUGGGCGUAAAGGGCUCGCAGGCGGUUUCUUAAGUCUGAUGUGAAAGCCCCCGGCUCAACCGGGGAGGGUCAUUGGAAACUGGGAAACUUGAGUGCAGAAGAGGAGAGUGGAAUUCCACGUGUAGCGGUGAAAUGCGUAGAGAUGU
RNAcentral lists this ribosomal RNA (639 nucleotides) under Bacillus pumilus. RNAcentral describes it as "bacterial SSU rRNA". It matches the Rfam family "Bacterial small subunit ribosomal RNA", at positions 75 to 699 of the family's 1533-position model. Lineage: Bacteria; Bacillati; Bacillota; Bacilli; Caryophanales; Bacillaceae. The record is from RNAcentral.